RNAcentral lists this ribosomal RNA (65 nucleotides) under Peronospora belbahrii. RNAcentral's name for it is "partial 28S ribosomal RNA". The stretch from base 9 to 65 matches the Rfam family "Eukaryotic large subunit ribosomal RNA", at positions 1 to 57 of the family's 3401-position model. The record is from RNAcentral. Lineage: Eukaryota; Oomycota; Peronosporomycetes; Peronosporales; Peronosporaceae.
UCUCAACUCGACCUGAUAUCAGGCAAGAUUACCCGCUGAACUUAAGCAUAUCAAUAAGCGGAGGA